This is a small nuclear RNA of Sarcophilus harrisii (Tasmanian devil), 105 nucleotides long. The record is from Ensembl. NCBI's taxonomy places the organism in Eukaryota, Metazoa, Chordata, Mammalia, Dasyuromorphia, Dasyuridae.
GUGCUCACUUCAGCAGCACAUAUACUAAAAUUGGAAUGAUACAGAGAAGAUUACUAGCCCCCACUUAAGGAUGACAUGCAGAUUAGUGUAGGAAGAAUUUAUACU